Molecule: long non-coding RNA, 1946 nt
Organism: Equus caballus (horse)
Lineage: Eukaryota; Metazoa; Chordata; Mammalia; Perissodactyla; Equidae
Source: Ensembl
CAGGUUUGAGCAAGUUGCCUCACUUCUCAGCUUCGAUGUCCUCGUCUGGACAGGGCAAUGAUGGCUCACCCCUGCUUGUUGGGGGGCCAUGGAGGAAUUAAAUGUGGUAAUGGAUGAAAAGCACUUCCAACAGUGCCCAACAUGCAGUAGGUGCUUCUUUCCCAACCAAUGCUGGUACUGGCCCAUGCCAUCGCACACCUGCUCCCGAGAUCCACCUCCUGGUCUGUAAAGGGGAGAGUGAGCAGGAGAGAUGCCUGACAGGCCUUAACAGACCUGCUAGCUCCCUCUCCCUCUCCUGCACUCUCUGCCCCAAGCGGAGCAGAGCCAAGGGGUGUUGCUCUCAAGUGGAUGUGUUUCAGGGGAGGCAGACUUCCAGCUCUGGUUUGCACUUGGCUCACUGGCGUUAUCACCCACCUUGGAAUGUGGGCACCAUCUCACAGGUCGCCCCACCCUACUGCCUGAGUUCCUGCUCCCACAGCCCUCUGCUCCUCCCAGGCUCCAGCCCUGCUCCAGUCUCGUCUCCCUGUCCCUGCUUCUCCCUCUGCGGGAGCCUCCUACCAAAUCUGAGACCCAUCAGAACCCACCCUCUAAUCCAAACAGUCUCACUGGGCAUGGAGGGUGGGGGAGGCCAACUCCACGUCAAGUUCAAGCAACUCCUCUGCCCCUGGUCACCCACCUUCUCUUCUCUCUGCAUCUGAGCAGCAGAUGAUAGAUCCAAGCCAGAGGAUGCCGGAGUGAGUUACAGAUGGUUUUGAAUCCUCUGUACUAGGGCUAUGAAUGCCAUAUGGCAGAUGCUCUGAAGUGCCUGUGAUGAAGGAAUAUUCUUUUUCUUCUUCAAGGUGCAUGAAUGAUGGACAGUAGGUCAGAAUGGGUGGCCAGCAGUUAACAGGCAUGGGGCAAUGAUUUCACACUGAAAUGCACGACUGGGUACGGAGUGGGGCAGGUACGAGAGGUUGGCAGGAGGAAGCUGUGUGGAACAUUUGGGACCACAGAACGUCAAAGCCAGAAGACCCCAAACGAUGACCAGACUCGUGUGUCACAGAACUGUGAGAUCAGAAAAAGCACCCAUGAGACAUUUGGGUAAAUACACGUGGAGUUUACAAAAUGUCUGAGGCCACCAGAACCACAUUCAAACCGGGGAAAGAACGAUGGAUGAUUUAGUGGAGGAGAGAGAGGUGAGAGUAAGUCUUGCCUGUGCGCUUCCCAUUUCCCGGACCUUAUCUACAGCAAGCGGCAGCCAAUAUUUGUCAAUUCUAUAAUCUCCAAUUUCAAUCCCUGGAUGACGUCCUACCGUGUCGUCGCCUGGUGUUUCCUGCCAUUAAUGCCUCAGCCUCCAUCUCCGCGUCUCCGGCAGGAAGCAGCGCCCUGCGCUGGAAAGAGCCAGCUGGGAAGUCACACGCUCCAGGUCCCAGCGCAGCCUCUGCCCUCCGAUAGCUGUGGGCCCGUGGGGAGCCCCCCAGCCAAAGAAGGAUGGGGCAGCAUCCAGGGCUCUCGAAUUAGGUGCUGGGAUGUUUUUUAAAAAUUUCGUAGGCCUUUAAGGCUGUGUGGAAAAUGUAAUUUGUAGAAGUUGAAUAACUGUACUGUUGCCCCAGUAGGGCCUGGGCCCGCCUGGUGCUCCCUGACCACCUGGCAGUAAGGCAGGCGGCAGUGGCGCUCCUGUGCAGCGAUGCCCGAGGCCAGCUUCCGUUCUGGUUGUUUGCUCGCCACUCACAGCCCCUGCAGAGCCGACUGGAGGGAAAAUAUGUGGACCUGUUAUCCAAGAUUAAGCAAGGCCUCGGCUGACCCUGGGGAAGAAGUCAAUAAAACUCAGCCAUGCCCAACUGGUGAAAGUUCCCGUGCCAAAUUGUUAAAAAUUCUCAUCGUCUCAUCUUCUUCCCCUGAAGACCACCAGAGGCCCCCCUGCGGUGAACAGGGUGGCUCGGUUGCAGAGGGGAGAGCGCCACAGG